This 92-nucleotide transfer RNA is filed under the name Rhizoctonia solani. It matches the Rfam family "tRNA". Rfam says of the family: Transfer RNA (tRNA) molecules are approximately 80 nucleotides in length. Their secondary structure includes four short double-helical elements and three loops (D, anti-codon, and T loops). Further hydrogen bonds mediate the characteristic L-shaped molecular structure. tRNAs have two regions of fundamental functional importance: the anti-codon, which is responsible for specific mRNA codon recognition, and the 3' end, to which the tRNAs corresponding amino acid is attached (by aminoacyl-tRNA synthetases). tRNAs cope with the degeneracy of the genetic code in two manners: having more than one tRNA (with a specific anti-codon) for a particular amino acid; and 'wobble' base-pairing, i.e. permitting non-standard base-pairing at the 3rd anti-codon position. Lineage: Eukaryota; Fungi; Basidiomycota; Agaricomycetes; Cantharellales; Ceratobasidiaceae. The record is from Rfam by way of RNAcentral.
GCCCUUAUAGCUCAGUGGUAGAGCGCAUCACUAGUAGAAUUGAACCUGUUCGCACCAUGAUGAGGUCCUCUGUUCGAUCCAGGGUGAGGGCA